AUACAGAGGGCUCGAGCGUUAAUCGGUAUCACUGGGCUUAAAGGGUGCGUAGGCGGGCCUGUAAGUGCUUUGUGAAAUCCCACGGCUCAACCGUGGAAUUGCUUGGCAGACUGCAGGUCUUGAGGUUGGUAGGGGCUGUCGGAACUCUAGGUGUAGCGGUGAAAUGCGUAGAUAUCUAGAGGAACACCAAAGGUGAAGACAGGCAGCUGGGCCAAUCCUGACGCUGAGGCACGAAAGCGUGGGUAGCGAACGGGAUUAGAAACCCCUGUAGUCC
Molecule: ribosomal RNA, 274 nt
Filed under: uncultured bacterium
Lineage: Bacteria
Description: partial 16S ribosomal RNA
Rfam family: Bacterial small subunit ribosomal RNA
Source: RNAcentral